This 91-nucleotide transfer RNA is filed under the name Prevotella sp. RNAcentral describes it as "tRNA-Ser". It matches the Rfam family "tRNA". From Rfam's summary of the family: Transfer RNA (tRNA) molecules are approximately 80 nucleotides in length. Their secondary structure includes four short double-helical elements and three loops (D, anti-codon, and T loops). Lineage: Bacteria; Pseudomonadati; Bacteroidota; Bacteroidia; Bacteroidales; Prevotellaceae. The record is from RNAcentral.
GGAAAGGUGCUCGAGUGGUUGAAGAGGCACGCCUGGAAAGCGUGUAAACGCCUAAAGCGUUUCGGGGGUUCGAAUCCCCCUCUCUCCGCAA